UUCUUCUCGUAUUCUGCGCCCUCCAUAGCCAGUCGCCACCCACAACACCACCUCUCUCCUUGAGCGGACCCGCCAGGCCCGGAUCGGUCCUGGCCCGCAGCACCACGCUCUGCCCGAGCUCCUGAGGGGAGGAGCCUCGAGCGAGGAGCUUCUGCACAGCCUCCCCGACCCGCCACCACGCAGCGGCUCUCGCAACCCUCGGUCCCGUCGUCCCGAGCCGCCGGGACACCGGCCGUCGCCGGAGCAGCCUGGUCGGCCUCCCCUGCUCCAGCCUCGUGCAGCCCUAGCAAUGGAGCUCCGCGCCGGUUGAGCUCCCUCGCUGCCGUCCGCCAUCCCAUGCCCCGAUCCGACCGGAUCCGGCCAGAUGCGGACCGGGCGAGCCCGUUCCCGGCUUCAGCCUACCCCGCCAUCGCGUCCACCU
This 421-nucleotide long non-coding RNA is filed under the name Hordeum vulgare. RNAcentral describes it as "long non-coding RNA (HVUL_LNC000122)". The record is from RNAcentral. Lineage: Eukaryota; Viridiplantae; Streptophyta; Magnoliopsida; Poales; Poaceae.